Molecule: transfer RNA, 72 nt
Filed under: Candidatus Caldarchaeales archaeon
Lineage: Archaea; Thermoproteati; Nitrososphaerota; Candidatus Caldarchaeales
Description: tRNA-Asn
Rfam family: tRNA
About the family: Transfer RNA (tRNA) molecules are approximately 80 nucleotides in length. Their secondary structure includes four short double-helical elements and three loops (D, anti-codon, and T loops).
Source: RNAcentral
GGGCCCGUAGCUCAGCGGUAGAGCGCCCGGCUGUUAACCGGAAGGUCGUGGGUUCGAAUCCCACCGGGCCCG